RNAcentral lists this long non-coding RNA (220 nucleotides) under Vigna radiata. RNAcentral describes it as "long non-coding RNA (VRAD_LNC012987)". The record is from RNAcentral. Lineage: Eukaryota; Viridiplantae; Streptophyta; Magnoliopsida; Fabales; Fabaceae.
CCGGAUACUCAGCCCCUUUUGUCGUCUUCGUCGGAGGUCACUCGCGACGAGUCGCUGUCGUGACACCGAUUGCACUCAGUCGCAAUCAAGACUGACCCGCACCCACCAUCGUGGUUUGCUUCGAAGGAGGAGGCGUCCACAACGAACAUCGCUCCAAGGACGCUCACACUUAGAGGUCUUAACACCGGGACAACGCCGCCACUAUGUCAUUUCCUCCGCG